RNAcentral lists this ribosomal RNA (404 nucleotides) under uncultured Prevotella sp. RNAcentral describes it as "bacterial SSU rRNA". It matches the Rfam family "Bacterial small subunit ribosomal RNA", at positions 355 to 756 of the family's 1533-position model. Lineage: Bacteria; Pseudomonadati; Bacteroidota; Bacteroidia; Bacteroidales; Prevotellaceae. The record is from RNAcentral.
UGAGGAAUAUUGGUCAAUGGGCGAGAGCCUGAACCAGCCAAGUAGCGUGCAGGAUGACGGCCCUAUGGGUUGUAAACUGCUUUUAUGCGGGGAUAACGUGCGCCACGUGUGGUGUAUUGCAGGUACCGCAUGAAUAAGGACCGGCUAAUUCCGUGCCAGCAGCCGCGGUAAUACGGAAGGUCCGGGCGUUAUCCGGAUUUAUUGGGUUUAAAGGGAGCGUAGGCCGGAGAUUAAGCGUGUUGUGAAAUGUAGACGCUCAACGUCUGCACUGCAGCGCGAACUGGUUUCCUUGAGUACGCACAAAGUGGGCGGAAUUCGUGGUGUAGCGGUGAAAUGCUUAGAUAUCACGAAGAACUCCGAUUGCGAAGGCAGCUCACUGGAGCGCAACUGACGCUGAAGCUCGA